GUCGGUGUGGCUCAGUUGGUUAGAGCGUUGGUCUCAUAGUCGUUAACCAUGACUUGGUUGUAAACCAGGGUAAUCCAAAGGUCGAGAGUUCGAGCCUCUCCACCGACA
This 108-nucleotide transfer RNA is filed under the name Fusarium langsethiae. It matches the Rfam family "tRNA". Rfam says of the family: Transfer RNA (tRNA) molecules are approximately 80 nucleotides in length. Their secondary structure includes four short double-helical elements and three loops (D, anti-codon, and T loops). Further hydrogen bonds mediate the characteristic L-shaped molecular structure. tRNAs have two regions of fundamental functional importance: the anti-codon, which is responsible for specific mRNA codon recognition, and the 3' end, to which the tRNAs corresponding amino acid is attached (by aminoacyl-tRNA synthetases). tRNAs cope with the degeneracy of the genetic code in two manners: having more than one tRNA (with a specific anti-codon) for a particular amino acid; and 'wobble' base-pairing, i.e. permitting non-standard base-pairing at the 3rd anti-codon position. Lineage: Eukaryota; Fungi; Ascomycota; Sordariomycetes; Hypocreales; Nectriaceae. The record is from Rfam by way of RNAcentral.